GACGAACGCUGGCGGCGUGCCUAAUACAUGCAAGUUGAGCGAUGAAGAUUGGUGCUUGCACCAAUUUGAAGAGCAGCGAACGGGUGAGUAACGCGUGGGGAAUCUGCCUUUGAGCGGGGGACAACAUUUGGAAACGAAUGCUAAUACCGCAUAAUAACUUUAAACAUAAGUUUUAAGUUUGAAAGAUGCAAUUGCAUCACUCAAAGAUGAUCCCGCGUUGUAUUAGCUAGUUGGUGAGGUAAAGGCUCACCAAGGCGAUGAUACAUAGCCGACCUGAGAGGGUGAUCGGCCACAGUGGGACUGAGACACGGCCCAAACUCCUACGGGAGGCAGCAGUAGGGAAUCUUCGGCAAUGGACGAAAGUCUGACCGAGCAACGCCGCGUGAGUGAAGAAGGUUUUCGGAUCGUAAAACUCUGUUGGUAGAGAAGAACGUUGGUGAGAGUGGAAAGCUCAUCAAGUGACGGUAACUACCCAGAAAGGGACGGCUAACUACGUG
Molecule: ribosomal RNA, 497 nt
Filed under: uncultured bacterium
Lineage: Bacteria
Description: partial 16S ribosomal RNA
Rfam family: Bacterial small subunit ribosomal RNA
Source: RNAcentral